This 254-nucleotide ribosomal RNA is filed under the name uncultured bacterium. Its description in RNAcentral is "partial 16S ribosomal RNA". It matches the Rfam family "Bacterial small subunit ribosomal RNA", at positions 524 to 776 of the family's 1533-position model. The record is from RNAcentral.
UACGAAGGGUGCAAGCGUUAAUCGGAAUUACUGGGCGUAAAGCGCACGUAGGUGGUUUUAUAAGUCGGAUGUGAAAGCCCCGGGCUUAACCUGGGAAUUGCAUCCGAGACUGUCUGACUCGAGUAUGCUAGAGGGAAGUGGAAUUCCAGGUGUAGCGGUGAAAUGCGUAGAUAUCUGGAGGAACACCGGUGGCGAAGGCGGCAUCCUGGACCAACACUGACGCUGAGUGAGCGAAAGCCAGGGGAGCAAACGGG